CCUGGAACUCAGGUAGGGUGAUUGCUACUGUUGCUGAAUUUGUUUAUGGGAACCCACAGUAGAGUAUGGGAGAAAGAUGCAGAGGCUGGAGGACAGCCAUGGGGAAUCAGGCUCGUCACCGUCAGAUCCACAACAGGAGCUAUGAGAAUCACACCACCCACCAGAGGCAGUGAGAAAAAGAGGAUGUGGGGCAAGUGGACUUGUGAAGAAAGGUUCUUUGGAGCAACUCCCGUCUGCAUUUUCAGGAAGUCAGCAAGCAGUUCAAUUGAUAGUUCAGCGGCGGCAGCUCAGUCCACUUUCAAACACUUCCUGGAUACACCAGAAGUCCAGUUUGGUGGAGUCGGGAUAGCAAACUCAAAUCAGCAGCAGUGGCAGGAACAGCUAGGCCUCAGCCAAAUCAGCACGAGGGCCCAGGAGGUAUGCCAGAAGUUCUCUGCUUGUGCCUCUCUCAGUAAAGCUGAGAUCCUUGAAGACUUGAGACCAACAAGCACUGCACAGCCGGCUGCACCAGCAAGCCAACCUUCACUGUCCUACACUUCCUCCAAAUAUCAUGAGUCCUCCAUGGGUCUUGCCACAGCACAUGUCUUGCCUCAGUGCGUGUGUCUGUCUCAGCUUACAUCACUCUGUCAAUCAGCCUGAGUCUGUGGAAGCCACAAGAAACUGCAGCAUGGCAGCAGCAGUUUUUAUUUUUUCUUUUCUUUUUUUUUAAAUAUUUAUUUAUUUUAUGCCUGUGAAUACACUGUUGCUCUCUUCUGAUACCUGAAGAGGACAUUGGAUCCCACUACAAAUGGUUGUUGUGAGCCACCAUGUGGUUGUUGGGAAUUGAACUCAGAACCUUUGGAAGAGCAGACAAUGCUCUUAACCACUAAGCCAUCUCUCCAGCCCCAGGAGCACAAGUUUUUUUGGUGCAUUUCUCUUUGUGGAGUCCUGACAAAUGUCUGCUUCAGCGAAAUGUUCUUUCGUGUGUCUGCUUUAGCAAAAUGUCCUCUCACCUGUGUCUGCUUCAGGAAAACACUCCCUCACAUGUUUGCCCCAGCAAACCCCCAUGUGACACAACUGACUUUCCAAAGAACCCUGAAGUUUCCACUUCACUUGACACUCUCUUGAAACUCAUUAUCCAUUCUGCUAUCCCAACAGCAGCGAUUGUUGAAAAAAUUAACCAGCACGCAAUUGCUUUUCUCACUUAUUUAUACUCCAAACACAUUUGUUGGAUGUUUGCUAAGUGUGCAGUUACCUUAAAGGAACCCCGUGCAAGGUGAGCAGACUGGACUGGUUCUGCGUUCUUGUGCUCACAUCCUGAGGUAAGGGAGGCAGGACUUGUCCACCUGCCUGUGGUGACUGUAGGAGCCUCCUGAGCAAGAGCUGCAUCCUUGGCAGGAGUGGGGCUUCCGGUCUGCAUUUCUUUACCUUUCUGAGACCUCAGGAGAUCUGGCGGUGGAGACGCAGCACCUGCAUGGAACAGUGUAUGGUACGAAUGCUUCAGUGUUGGGACUCUGCUUUGGCAAGGCCCACAGAAACCCCUCUCCACUUGGUGAGGAUCUGUGGGGAAUUUGGUGGCCUCUAUUCCCCAAGUUGGCUUUGAUUGGGAAUAAAGUGGACAAAGGUGACUGGCUUGGCAUGGUGAAACAAGCAGGAGUUUUAGAUUGCAUAAGUAAAGACUGAGGUAGAAGGAGGAGAAGAGAAUUGCCAUGGCUCGGGGGCAGAAGGAUCAGAUGUAAGAGCUGCAAGAGAGAAAUCAUCCAGCAAUGACCUGAACCUUGUUGCUGGACCUGGCCAUUGGCAGAAAUCUUACCGGCCAUAGAGGCCAGAGCCCAUACUCACUGUGUCCAGAGGCUGUGUGUUGGUAUUCCUUCUCAGAUGGGAAGGGGUCCUGUGACUUGGGAGCCAGGGAACCACACAGUUCUCUUGGUGGGACAGAGUCCUAAUGGAAGGGUAACCUGAAACACAGAAGCCCAGGAACUAAACAGUUCUGAUGUGGGGCAUUGUUCUGAUGGAAGAGUAUCCUGAAACACGGGAGAUCUGGAACCACAUAGCUCUGAGAGGAAGCCUCGACAGCAGAGGUGUUACAUGGGAGAGUAUCAGGAGCUUCAUCCCUGCUCCACUUCUUAGCUUCUUCCCUUCUUUGCUUCUUUCAAUGACAGAGUCACAAGCAGCAGCAAAUCUUAUAAAAGAGAUUUAUUGGUAGGAUUGAAUCCAGGGCUUGGAGGGAUAAAUCUAGGGGUGGCUGCCUUUGCUCCCAGCAGAAGGCACCAGGGAACUGAACAGUAGGGAGCUUCUAUAGUAUUUCCUAGAGUAGAGAGCGUUUCCGUGGCUGAGCUUUUCAGGGUGAGGGUUGGAGAGAUUUCAAGUUCUGAGCAUGAGGAGCUCAGGGAUUGAUGGGUUUUCCUGUUUGGGGAUUGCUGGGAUUUUUCUUCUUGUAGGGCAGAGUCUGGACCCACUCCCACCUCAGGAUGAGAAUAGCAGUUACAGCCCUUAGAAAAUGAUCACUAGGGCCAUUAGGCCAGUCUGGGAGCAGGGCCUGCUUGCUGAUGCUCCUCAGGUUGGGGCCUGGCCACAUUCCUGCCUUGGGGGCAUACAAAGUUUACUCACAGUUGGUGUGAAUGGCCAACAGUGUGGGGUCAUAUUUUCCCUGUUGGAGAGGAGUGUAUUUGUCUGGCUUUCAAGUUACAGAGUCCUAAUGUCUGCUGUUCUGCUAGGUCUCUGGGUCUGCUUCCUUUGAGAUAGGAUACUCCGUCUAUCCCUGAGAUAGCUUUGCCUUACUCCUGUGUUCUACCUUGGUUUAUGCUCCAAGAAGCCUGGAUACUCUUGGUUUUGUUUCCAUUUUUCCAUUAUAGAAAACAAUUGUCUUUGGAGUACAGAUAAUAUUACAAAUCUAGAAAUGUAUGCUGUUUUAGCUAACCGAGAAGGCUGGCUCUGUUGUUAGGAUUUGGCAUCGGCAUCCACACAUCACAUCCAACCAUGUGUGACUCUAAGGUUCUUCUGUCCUGAGUCAGUGCCCCUGAGUCUGAGACAGGUGUUGAGGGGUGGUUGUGUGCACUGUUUUUUCAGAUGUUGAUUUCUAUGCCCAGAUGUCUGGUUGCAGUCUGAACAAUGGCAUGGUCAACCAUCUCCAAUAUCUACGUUAUAUAAAAAUUGUUUUCCAUCUG
This is a non-coding RNA of Mus caroli (Ryukyu mouse), 3146 nucleotides long. Lineage: Eukaryota; Metazoa; Chordata; Mammalia; Rodentia; Muridae. The record is from RefSeq and is a predicted model, not a curated record.